Lagopus leucura (white-tailed ptarmigan) is the source of this 466-nucleotide long non-coding RNA. RefSeq lists it as uncharacterized. The transcript has 4 exons. NCBI's taxonomy places the organism in Eukaryota, Metazoa, Chordata, Aves, Galliformes, Phasianidae. The record is from RefSeq and is a predicted model, not a curated record.
UCUGGGAUGCAGUGUGGUGGUAGCACUGCCUGGAACCAUCACAGUCUGCAGAGAGGCACCAUCUUUUUUUUGGAAGAUCUUGGGUUUGAAAUGCGAUCCCUGAAAUGAGACCAGGAUAGCUGUCAGAUCCUCUUCUCUGAAGAGAGUUUCAGUGAGGAACAGCUUGAGAUAAGCAGUGUGAACCAAAAGAGAUCCCGAUGGCUGUCAGAUCAGAGUGGCAGUUGGCCAAGAAGACAAAUUGCCUUCCGGCUGCAGGCACUUGCCAUAGUUGUUGUGGUGUGCCUUGGAACGUGAUGCCCUCCACAGGUGGCAGCCUGCAGCAAAAAAUUGGUUGGACCUGCAGAGAUACAGCCCAGUGACAAGGGCUGGCACUUUGGAUUGCAACAUGACCGAAACGAAAAGCGUGAACACUACAAGAAUUUCUGCUCUAUGGAAAAAUGUUAUUUUUGGAUUCUUCAGGAAGGCG